AACGAACGCUGGCGGCAUGCCUAACACAUGCAAGUCGAACGAAGCCUUCGGGCUUAGUGGCGCACGGGUGCGUAACGCGUGGGAAUCUGCCCUUGGGUUCGGAAUAACAGUUAGAAAUGACUGCUAAUACCGAAUGAUGUCUUCGGAUCAAAGAUUUAUCGCCCAAGGAUGAGCCCGCGUCGGAUUAGCUGGUUGGUGAGGUAAAGGCUCACCAAGGCGACGAUCCGUAGCUGGUCUGAGAGGAUGAUCAGCCACACUGGGACUGAGACACGGCCCAGACUCCUACGGGAGGCAGCAGUGGGGAAUAUUGGACAAUGGGCGAAAGCCUGAUCCAGCAAUGCCGCGUGAGUGAUGAAGGCCUUAGGGUUGUAAAGCUCUUUUACCCGGGAUGAUAAUGACAGUACCGGGAGAAUAAGCCCCGGCUAACUCCGUGCCAGCAGCCGCGGUAAU
RNAcentral lists this ribosomal RNA (450 nucleotides) under uncultured bacterium. Its description in RNAcentral is "bacterial SSU rRNA". It matches the Rfam family "Bacterial small subunit ribosomal RNA", at positions 29 to 524 of the family's 1533-position model. The record is from RNAcentral.